AGUGAACGCUGGCGGUAGGCCUAACACAUGCAAGCCGAACAGCAGCACAGUAAGAGCUUGCUCUUACGGGUGGCGAGUGGCGGACGGGUGAGGAAUACAUCGGAAUCUACUUUUUCGUGGGGGAUAACGUAGGGAAACUUACGCUAAUACCGCAUACGACCUACGGGUGAAAGCAGGGGAUCUUCGGACCUUGCGCGAUUGAAUGAGCCGAUGUCGGAUUAGCUAGUUGGCGGGGUAAAGGCCCACCAAGGCGACGAUCCGUAGCUGGUCUGAGAGGAUGAUCAGCCACACUGGAACUGAGACACGGUCCAGACUCCUACGGGAGGCAGCAGUGGGGAAUAUUGGACAAUGGGCGCAAGCCUGAUCCAGCCAUACCGCGUGGGUGAAGAAGGCCUUCGGGUUGUAAAGCCCUUUUGUUGGGAAAGAAAAGCAGCAGGUUAAUACCCCGCUGUUCUGACGGUACCCAAAGAAUAAGCACCGGCUAACUUCGUG
RNAcentral lists this ribosomal RNA (492 nucleotides) under uncultured bacterium. RNAcentral describes it as "partial 16S ribosomal RNA". It matches the Rfam family "Bacterial small subunit ribosomal RNA", at positions 29 to 507 of the family's 1533-position model. The record is from RNAcentral.